UAAUACGGAGGGGGCAAGCGUUGUUCGGAAUUAUUGGGCGUAAAGAGUAUGUAGGCGGCUAGAUAAGUCAGACGUGUAAGCCCAUGGCUCAACCAUGGAAUUGCGUUUGAAACUAUUUAGCUUGAGUGCAGGAGAGGAAAGCGGAAUUCCCAGUGUAGCGGUGAAAUGCAUUGAUAUUGGGAAGAACACCGGUGGCGAAGGCGGCUUUCUGGUCUGUUACUGACGCUGAGAUACGAAAGCCAGGGGAGCAAAGGGGAUUAGAUACCCCCGUAGUCCUGGCCGUAAACGAUGGGCACUAGGUGGAGGAGGUAUCGGUCCCUUCUCUGUCGUAGCUAACGCAUUAAGUGCCCCGCCUGGGGAGUACGGUCGCAAGGCUG
Molecule: ribosomal RNA, 377 nt
Filed under: uncultured Nitrospinaceae bacterium
Lineage: Bacteria; Pseudomonadati; Nitrospinota; Nitrospinia; Nitrospinales; Nitrospinaceae
Description: bacterial SSU rRNA
Rfam family: Bacterial small subunit ribosomal RNA
Source: RNAcentral